UACGAAGGGGGCUAGCGUUGCUCGGAAUGACUGGGCGUAAAGGGCGCGUAGGCGGCUUACAUAGUUAGGCGUGAAAUUCCUGGGCUCAACCUGGGGACUGCGUCUAAUACAUGUAGGCUUGAGUGUGAAAGAGGGUCGUGGAAUUUCCAGUGUAGAGGUGAAAUUCGUAGAGAUUGGAAAGAACACCGGUGGCGAAGGCGGCGACCUGGUUCAUUACUGACGAUGAGGCGCGAAAGAGUGGGGAGCAAACAGG
This 253-nucleotide ribosomal RNA is filed under the name uncultured bacterium. RNAcentral describes it as "partial 16S ribosomal RNA". It matches the Rfam family "Bacterial small subunit ribosomal RNA", at positions 524 to 776 of the family's 1533-position model. The record is from RNAcentral.